GACUCGGUAGCUCAGUUGGUAGAGCGGUGGGACGGAAUUCCUAAGUCGUGAGUUUCGAUCCUCGCUCGGAUUC
Molecule: non-coding RNA, 73 nt
Organism: Gymnothorax javanicus (giant moray)
Lineage: Eukaryota; Metazoa; Chordata; Actinopteri; Anguilliformes; Muraenidae
Source: the annotation of a GenBank genome assembly